UAUAUUCUCUGUUCUGCAUUAUAAGCAACAUGACCAGCAGCCACGUUUGUUGUAAUUUUUUAAAUAUGUGGAAAAAAAGCAAGAUAUCAACCAUGUAUUACCUUAACCAAGAUGCCAAAUUAUCUAACUUGUUUCUCCAGGCAAGCAGCCCAACAACAGGGACAGCUCCCAGGAGCCAGUCAAGGUUGUCUGUCUGUCCAUCCACUCAGGACAUCUGCAGAAUCUGUCACUGCGAAGGGGAUGAAGAGAGCCCCCUCAUCACACCCUGUCGCUGCACUGGGACACUGCGCUUUGUCCACCAGUCCUGCCUCCACCAGUGGAUAAAGAGCUCAGAUACACGCUGCUGUGAGCUCUGCAAGUAUGACUUCAUAAUGGAGACCAAGCUCAAACCCCUCCGGAAGGUACAGUAUCCAUAGGAAUUGGUUUGGGAGGGACCAUUUGCAAAGCAGACUUGUUUUAGAAAUCUAUUUCCUUUGCCAAUAAGAUUCUCCUAAUAUGCUAAUAUCCAUUAAGGGUAUGUGUCUUGUGUUGAGCUCAGUGCACAAAAUUCAUCUAAGU
This 558-nucleotide small RNA is filed under the name Pan troglodytes (chimpanzee). Its description in RNAcentral is "retained intron". The record is from RNAcentral. Lineage: Eukaryota; Metazoa; Chordata; Mammalia; Primates; Hominidae.